RNAcentral lists this long non-coding RNA (2852 nucleotides) under Helianthus annuus (common sunflower). Lineage: Eukaryota; Viridiplantae; Streptophyta; Magnoliopsida; Asterales; Asteraceae. The record is from RNAcentral.
CCCAUAUUCAAAAUCUUGGCUCCAGAUUCAAAAUUCAAACCGUAUACAUAUAUAACCUACAUUAUUCUGGCUCCCCUUUCAAAAUUCAAUCCCUCUCUCAAAUCCAGAGCACCUCCACAUCCAAUCUUCAAAUCCAGAGCACCUCCAAAUCCAAUCUUCAAACCGUAUCUAUUUUAUUUAGAAUACUCUGCUCCAUUCAAAGGUUAGAUCCAUGAAGUAGCAAUUAGGGCAAACUUCAAGAGAGAUCGAGCAUGUAAAGUGUGCCAGACGCCACCAUAUUCUCCUUCCACUAAGGUUAUAUUCCUCUUUGCCUUUCUCUGAAAUCUGAACACCGCCCACUGCCUUUCCCUUCUCUGAACUACAUCGAUUUUGGCGGUGUGUUAUUAUUUUGUGAUUAGGUUAUAUGGCGGUGUGUAACCAUCUUUGUCUUCGUUCCAAAGAUAAUCAGAUCAUAAAGAUGGUUACACACCGCCAUAUGUGAGGGUCCGAUGUCAACAGAGCGACUAAGAUGAAGCUGAAUUGGAGAUUAUGUUAUGUGGAAGCAUGGAGUUCAACUCUCCACGUUCUCUCACUAGUUUAUGGAUAUUGUUGGUGCUUCUUCCCUGUCAAUAAUUUCAUCUUUAUUAACUAUUGCAAAUCAUAAAGAUGGUUACACACCGCCAUAUGUGAGGGUCCAAUGUCAACAGAGCGACUAAGGUACUGUGGGAGAGAAAGGUCUAUGAUGCUGUUGAACUGUAUUUUCCGCGUAGGAGGAUGUUCGAUGCUUUUAACUAACGAUAGGGCUCGUAAGAAUCAAGCAAUUUUGAAGCUGAAUUGUUUGGUUCGAACCCAAUUCGAUGCGAAUGAUGUUGUACAACUGUUGUAUGCAAGUCAAAGAUGACAAUGGAUAUGCUGGUUUUCGUCUAACCAAACUGCUCACGAAAGAAGCAGAAGCAGAAGCCGAAGCCGGAGCCGGAGUAGAAGCAGAAGCUUGCGACGCAGCAGGAGCAAAUCCUUGGAACGUUCUGUGUCGAAAUCGCCAGCUAAAUCUAAGUCACCAUCUUCUGUGAAGCCGGAAAGGUGUUGUAGCAUAUGUGUAACUAUAUGCAAACUUCUGAUUCAAAUACCUAUGUUCCAACUUCAUAUAGGAAAUAUAGACACCGCCAAUCUUGUAAAGGAAAGAAGUCAGCAGCGGUUUCCAGUCCCUGGAGAGCCCGUAUGUUUUGUCUGUGGCAAAUACGGGGAAUAUAUAUGUGAUGAGACCGAUGAUGAUAUCAAAGGUGGGAUUUCAGUACUAUGAACGACAAAGUGCUUGAAGAUUUCUACCAACACUGUUUUAACCCAAAAUAGUGGAUUGGUAUAAUUUUUCUUUUGUUUAAUAGGGUAGCAUCUCAAAGGAAACCACUGUUUUACCCCAAAAGUGGUUUCAAAACACUGUUGGGUUAAAACAGUGCGUUAAACCACUGUUGGGUUAAAACAGUGCGUUAAACUACUGUUGGGUUAAAAUAGUGGUUGAAACCACUGUUGGGUUAAAAUAGUGGGUUAAACCACUGUUGGGUUAAAACAGUGAGUUAAACCACUAUUGGGUUAAAACAGUGAGUUAAACCACUGUUGGGUUAAAACAGUGGUUUCAACCACUGUUGGGUUAAAAUAGUGAGUUUAACCACUGUUGGGUUAAAACAAUGAGUUUAACCACUGUUGAGUUACAACAGUGGUUGAAACUACUGUUGGGUUCGAAGAGUUAUCCGCAGGUAAUGGGACUGUUAAAAGUAUUCCUCAAAAGAAUACAUAAUCAAAAGGCUAAAUCUAACUCAGGCGGAAAGCUUCCAAAAAGUGUUUUGCUUGUAGGUCCACCUGGGACAGGGAAGACAAUGUUAGGCAGGAGAAGCAGGUGUGCCAUUUUCUCUUGUAGUGGUAGUGAGUUUGAAGAAAUGUUUAUUGGUGUUAGGACUUGCAAGGUUAGAGAUCUUUAAAUCAGUUGGAGGAAGCCGUAACCCGAAGGACCAACAAUACAUGAAGAUGCGUUUAAAUCAGUUGCUUUAGGCAUUAGAGGGUUUUAAACAAAAUGAAGGCAUUAUUGUUAUUGCUGCAACCAAGUUUCCGAAGUCAAUGGAUACGACACUAAUUAGACCUGGUCGGUUUGACCAUCGUGUGUUGUUCCCAAAUCCAGAUGUUAAAGGCAUGAGGCAAAUCAUGUUAAAGAUCUUACAGGCUGAUCGAGGCCUCUGUUGGAGAUUAGCAAUUGUUGCACUUCCAGCUAUGUUUUUGCUGAUUAUUCCAGGGGUAAUAUAUGGAAAUAUUUUAGCGAAAAAAGAAGAGAAAAUACAAGAAGCUUAUACAGUUUCCGGUGGGAUAGCAGAACAGGCGUUUUCUUUGAUUAAAACAGUUCAUUACUACGUUGGAGAGAAAAAAAUGGUGAGUCGGUUUUCAGAUGCGUUAAUACCAACUUUAGCUCUAGGUAUUAAACAAGGUUUGUUAAAAGGAAUGGUUCUUGGUAGCAUCGGAAUUUUGUUUUCUAUUUUCGCUUUUAUGAGCUGGUAUGGGAGCAUCUUGGUCAUCAAAAAAGGAAUCAAAGGGAGUAGUUUAUACCCAGACUAUUAUGACACUAAUACCGUGAAGGUGAAUGACGCGCAACUUAGCACCAUAAAGACCCUUUGAUAGUGAGUUUGCUUCUUCUAGCAUAGCUAUAUGAUUUUGAUUCUAUGUUAAUUUCAUUUCAUUAUGAGUAGCGUCUUAAACCGAAAUAUAUAUGUACAUUUGAGGCUUAAAACAUGAGUGUUUGAUACAGUCUCUUAUAUUGUUAUGUUAGUGUCUUUCUAAUUGUGAGUUAAGUAUGUUGAUGGUGCUAUACAAUGAACAGAGAUAAAUUGGUU